This 303-nucleotide unclassified non-coding RNA is filed under the name uncultured fungus. Its description in RNAcentral is "sequence contains ITS1". The stretch from base 1 to 98 matches the Rfam family "5.8S ribosomal RNA", at positions 50 to 154 of the family's 154-position model. The record is from RNAcentral. Lineage: Eukaryota; Fungi.
GAAAUGCGAUAAGAGAUGUGAAUUGCAGUGAAUCAUCGAAUUUUUGAACGCAAAUUGCACACUCUGGUAAUCCGGAGUGUAUACCUUUUUGAGUGUCAUAUAAUAAUUAUCGAUAUAUCUUCGGAAUUGAGCUAUCUAUGCUUAAGUAGUAGCUUAAAAUUAGGAAAUGAUUAUAAUGUUUUUUUACGAGAUAUCCCUGAUCAUUAUCUGUGACUAAAAAUACGCACGUAAGAUCCUACUCCCUUUUCAUGUUUAUAUAUAAAAUUCGACCUCAAGUCAGGUAGGAAUACCCGCUGGACUUGA